UUUUAUUUUAUUUUAUUUUUUUAGAAAUACAGAUUUAUUUAUUUAUUUUUUAUCCCUCCCCCCUCCCCCCACCCCACAACAGUCCCCGGUGUGUGAUGUUCCCCUUCCUGAUUGGUAGUAAAACAAAGGGGGAAAUAGGGAAAUGGCUUGAGAGGAACGUAGAAUCAGAGGAGAGUGAUCAUUUAGCAUGGGUGUCAUCUGAGAGUGUGGUCAGUGGAAAGGGUGACGCUGGUGUAGGUGGAAGGGAUGCUGGGAAGGGUGAAGUGGUCAGGGAAGGUGAGGGUGGGAGGAGUAGC
This 296-nucleotide long non-coding RNA is filed under the name Homo sapiens (human). Its description in RNAcentral is "non-protein coding lnc-TBCCD1-2:1". Lineage: Eukaryota; Metazoa; Chordata; Mammalia; Primates; Hominidae. The record is from RNAcentral.